This 574-nucleotide ribosomal RNA is filed under the name uncultured bacterium. RNAcentral's name for it is "partial 16S ribosomal RNA". It matches the Rfam family "Bacterial small subunit ribosomal RNA", at positions 355 to 922 of the family's 1533-position model. The record is from RNAcentral.
UGGGGAAUUUUGGACAAUGGGGGAAACCCUGAUCCAGCCAUCCCGCGUGUGCGAUGAAGGCCUUCGGGUUGUAAAGCACUUUUGGCAGGAAAGAAACGUCGCGGGUUAAUACCCCGCGAAACUGACGGUACCUGCAGAAUAAGCACCGGCUAACUACGUGCCAGCAGCCGCGGUAAUACGUAGGGUGCAAGCGUUAAUCGGAAUUACUGGGCGUAAAGCGUGCGCAGGCGGUUCGGAAAGAAAGAUGUGAAAUCCCAGAGCUUAACUUUGGAACUGCAUUUUUAACUACCGGGCUAGAGUGUGUCAGAGGGAGGUGGAAUUCCGCGUGUAGCAGUGAAAUGCGUAGAUAUGCGGAGGAACACCGAUGGCGAAGGCAGCCUCCUGGGAUAACACUGACGCUCAUGCACGAAAGCGUGGGGAGCAAACAGGAUUAGAUACCCUGGUAGUCCACGCCCUAAACGAUGUCAACUAGCUGUUGGGGCCUUCGGGCCUUGGUAGCGCAGCUAACGCGUGAAGUUGACCGCCUGGGGAGUNCGGUCGCAAGAUUAAAACUUAAAGGAAUUGACGGGGGUGC